GUUGAACUUUCAACCCCUCAUUUCGAGACAAAGACGUUGAGAAACAGAAGGGAAAUGGAGAAACCUUUGUUCCGCCGUCAUUUUAUCGUUUAGCGAGUGUGUGUAUUCGAAGUGCAUGCGUGUGUGUGUGUGUGUAUCUGGUUAGUGUGUAUACCAGUGACGUCAUGAACAAUGCAACUAACGAAAAAUUUUCAGACGUGGCCUUAUUUGAACAACUGUUUCGUUGAAGAGUUAUUAUAAAACGAAUUGGCUGUAAUGCCAACUAAUUAGUACAAUCGACAAUUGGACCGGAUUAUACGUAAUUAUGUACAAAUAAUGCGUAAAUGUAUAGGGAAAUCAAUAAGAAUUACUAAUGCGUAGUGCCAAUUCCUAGUUUUAUGUUACGUGGCUGCAUAAAGGGGUUGAAAAGGAAAGAAAAUCUAAAAUGGCCGAACAAAGACCUUGGAAAAAACUUCAAUGCAGUUUUUCUCAGUCGUUUUAACUUAAAAUAGGGAUUUAUCUUGUUUGGAUUAAACUUACUCUCGAUUCCAAUCGCUGUAUUGAUGUAUUUAAUCACAAUUAAAUGAAAUACUUUUGAGAAUUAUAUUAUGUCGCUUUAUAUUCAGUA
Long non-coding RNA from Drosophila ananassae, 607 nucleotides. RefSeq lists it as uncharacterized. Lineage: Eukaryota; Metazoa; Arthropoda; Insecta; Diptera; Drosophilidae. The record is from RefSeq and is a predicted model, not a curated record. The transcript is spliced from 2 exons.